Bombina bombina (fire-bellied toad) is the source of this 732-nucleotide long non-coding RNA. RefSeq lists it as uncharacterized. The transcript has 2 exons. NCBI's taxonomy places the organism in Eukaryota, Metazoa, Chordata, Amphibia, Anura, Bombinatoridae. The record is from RefSeq and is a predicted model, not a curated record.
AUAAGAAGCUUGCAUGCCUCUCAUUCUCAAGUGGAUAGGAUUGUCUGAUUUGCUUACCUCUGAUAAUCUAUACCAAAAUGAAAACCAUUCUUAGAAACACUGUCAUUCUCUUGAUGUUCUGUGAUGGAGUUUGUCAAACUAGUGCACUUGGCUGCAGACCUGGGACCCCUUACUCUCAAAGGCCAUUCGCCAUGCCUGGGGAUGUGACUAUUGGAGGACUAUUUGACAUACACAUUUACUAUACAACUGAAGCAUUUUACUUUUCAAGCCCUCCACAUCUACAGCCACGUAAGAUAAGUAACCAAUUAAAUGGUUGUACAGGUACACCACUGAUUUUCAGUCAACUGAUGAUUCGGCAUCUCCUUUAGUCCGGACACAAUUAAAAUAAUGUGAGAGCGAAAUAUAAUAGCACGCUUCAAUACUGGGUGUGCUGACGUACAUUAGUUGUGCUGCACUUAUUGUUGGUGGUGACACAGUGCCUCCAUUUUAUGAUGGAUUUUAUGACCAGCCCACCUCUAAGAAAAUGUGUCCACUAGCUAUCUGCCUUUUUAUUUCCCAAUGACAAGUCGUGUAAUUUGCUAUGUUGUAUGCAUAAUCUUUGUUCUUUGCAUAUUUUUAAAUUACUAGUGGAUUUUGCUAAGACAAAAUUAACAAGUGUUUCAUUGUGUGUUUUCAACCUCUACCUUUGUUUAACAAAACAGCAGUAUACUGUUAAUAAACUAUUUCACCGUG